Molecule: unclassified non-coding RNA, 183 nt
Filed under: Clostridium beijerinckii
Lineage: Bacteria; Bacillati; Bacillota; Clostridia; Eubacteriales; Clostridiaceae
Description: T-box
Source: RNAcentral
UGUAAAACGUUGAUGAAGAAUAGUAGAAGUCGAUUAUAUAAGAGAAAAAGUCCGUGGGCUGAAAGACUUUUAAACAGGCUUUGAACCAGCUUUUGAGUAUAGGGAAAAACUAUCGGUCUAAAACCGUUAUCAUUGCUAGAGAACAAAUUUAGGUGGUACCGCGAUAUAAAGUUCGCCCUAAUA